GGGUUGUGAGGUUAAGCGACUAAGCGUACACGGUGGAUGCCCGGCAGUCAGAGGCGAUGAAGGACGUGCUAAUCUGCGAUAAGCGUCGGUGAGGUGAUAUGAACCGUUAUAACCGGCGAUUUCCGAAUGGGGAAACCCAGUGUGUUUCGACACACUAUCAUUAACUGAAUCCAUAGGUUAAUGAGGCGAACCGGGGAACUGAAACAUCUAAGUACCCCGAGGAAAAGAAAUCAACCGAGAUUCCCCAGUAGCGGCGAGCGAACGGGGAGGAGCCCAGAGCCUGAAUCAGUGUGUGUGUUAGUGGAAGCGUCUGGAAAGGCGCGCGAUACAGGGUGACAGCCCCGUACACAAAAAUGCACAUAUUGUGAGCUCGAUGAGUAGGGCGGGACACGUGGUAUCCUGUCUGAAUAUGGGGGACCAUCCUCCAAGGCUAAAUACUCCUGACUGACCGAUAGUGAACCAGUACCGUGAGGGAAAGGCGAAAAGAACCCCGGCGAGGGGAGUGAAAAAGAACCUGAAACCGUGUACGUACAAGCAGUGGGAGCCUCUUAAUGGGGUGACUGCGUACCUUUUGUAUAAUGGGUCAGCGACUUAUAUUCUGUAGCAAGGUUAACCGAAUAGGGGAGCCGAAGGGAAACCGAGUCUUAACUGGGCGUUAAGUUGCAGGGUAUAGACCCGAAACCCGGUGAUCUAGCCAUGGGCAGGUUGAAGGUUGGGUAACACUAACUGGAGGACCGAACCGACUAAUGUUGAAAAAUUAGCGGAUGACUUGUGGCUGGGGGUGAAAGGCCAAUCAAACCGGGAGAUAGCUGGUUCUCCCCGAAAGCUAUUUAGGUAGCGCCUCGUGAAUUCAUCUCCGGGGUAGAGCACUGUUUCGGCAAGGGGGUCAUCCCGACUUACCAACCCGAUGCAAACUGCGAAUACCGGAGAAUGUUAUCACGGGAGACACACGGCGGGUGCUAACGUCCGUCGUGAAGAGGGAAACAACCCAGACCGCCAGCUAAGGUCCCAAAGUCAUGGUUAAGUGGGAAACGAUGUGGGAAGGCCCAGACAGCCGUGGGAUGUUGGCUUAGAAGCAGCCAUCAUUUAAAGAAAGCGUAAUAGCUCACUGGUCGAGUCGGCCUGCGCGGAAGAUGUAACGGGGCUAAACCAUGCACCGAAGCUGCGGCAGCGACACUAUGUGUUGUUGGGUAGGGGAGCGUUCUGUAAGCCUGUGAAGGUGGCCUGUGAGGGUUGCUGGAGGUAUCAGAAGUGCGAAUGCUGACAUAAGUAACGAUAAAGCGGGUGAAAAGCCCGCUCGCCGGAAGACCAAGGGUUCCUGUCCAACGUUAAUCGGGGCAGGGUGAGUCGACCCCUAAGGCGAGGCCGAAAGGCGUAGUCGAUGGGAAACAGGUUAAUAUUCCUGUACUUGGUGUUACUGCGAAGGGGGACGGAGAAGGCUAUGUUGGCCGGGCGACGGUUGUCCCGGUUUAAGCGUGUAGGCUGGUUUUCCGUGCAAAUCCGGAAAACCAAGGCUGAGGCGUGAUGACGAGGCACUACGGUGCUGAAGCGACAAAUGCCCUGCUUCCGGAAAAGCCUCUAAGCAUCAGGUAACAUCAAAUCGUACCCCAAACCGACACAGGUGGUCAGGUAGAGAAUACCAAGGCGCUUGAGAGAACUCGGGUGAAGGAACUAGGCAAAAUGGUGCCGUAACUUCGGGAGAAGGCACGCUGAUAUGUAGGUGAAGCGACUUGCUCGUGGAGCUGAAAUCAGUCGAAGAUACCAGCUGGCUGCAACUGUUUAUUAAAAACACAGCACUGUGCAAACACGAAAGUGGACGUAUACGGUGUGACGCCUGCCCGGUGCCGGAAGGUUAAUUGAUGGGGUUAGCGGUAACGCGAAGCUCUUGAUCGAAGCCCCGGUAAACGGCGGCCGUAACUAUAACGGUCCUAAGGUAGCGAAAUUCCUUGUCGGGUAAGUUCCGACCUGCACGAAUGGCGUAAUGAUGGCGGGCUGUCUCCACCCGAGACUCAGUGAAAUUGAACUCGCUGUGAAGAUGCAGUGUACCCGCGGCAAGACGGAAAGACCCCGUGAACCUUUACUAUAGCUUGACACUGAACAUUGAGCCUUGAUGUGUAGGAUAGGUGGGAGGCUUUGAAGUGUGGACGCCAGUCUGCAUGGAGCCGACCUUGAAAUACCACCCUUUAAUGUUUGAUGUUCUAACGUUGGCCCGUAAUCCGGGUUGCGGACAGUGUCUGGUGGGUAGUUUGACUGGGGCGGUCUCCUCCUAAAGAGUAACGGAGGAGCACGAAGGUUGGCUAAUCUGGUCGGACAUCAGGAGGUUAGUGCAAUGGCAUAAGCCAGCUUGACUGCGAGCGUGACGGCGCGAGCAGGUGCGAAAGCAGGUCAUAGUGAUCCGGUGGUUCUGAAUGGAAGGGCCAUCGCUCAACGGAUAAAAGGUACUCCGGGGAUAACAGGCUGAUACCGCCCAAGAGUUCAUAUCGACGGCGGUGUUUGGCACCUCGAUGUCGGCUCAUCACAUCCUGGGGCUGAAGUAGGUCCCAAGGGUAUGGCUGUUCGCCAUUUAAAGUGGUACGCGAGCUGGGUUUAGAACGUCGUGAGACAGUUCGGUCCCUAUCUGCCGUGGGCGCUGGAGAACUGAGGGGGCUGCUCCUAGUACGAGAGGACCGGAGUGGACGCAUCACUGGUGUUCGGGUUGUCAUGCCAAUGGCACUGCCCGGUAGCUAAAUGCGGAAGAGAUAAGUGCUGAAAGCAUCUAAGCACGAAACUUGCCCCGAGAUGAGUUCUCCCUGACUCCUUGAGAGUCCUGAAGGAACGUUGAAGACGACGACGUUGAUAGGCCGGGUGUGUAAGCGCAGCGAUGCGUUGAGCUAACCGGUACUAAUGAACCGUGAGGCUUAACCUUACAACGCCGAAG
This 2917-nucleotide ribosomal RNA is filed under the name Escherichia coli. RNAcentral describes it as "23S ribosomal RNA". It matches the Rfam family "Bacterial large subunit ribosomal RNA". The record is from RNAcentral. Lineage: Bacteria; Pseudomonadati; Pseudomonadota; Gammaproteobacteria; Enterobacterales; Enterobacteriaceae.